GCAGCCUUAUGUAUCAGUCCAUUGCUAGCCUGUCUUUUUUCGAGGGAUUUGGUCCUAUCACCGGUUUCGAUCGAUGUUCUAGGACUCGUAUAAAUACAUUCUAAUCUCGCUGUGCCUGGUUUCAUAUUAAACACGAUAACAGUGCAUAGCAUGAAUGGAUGGUGCUUCGUAAGUACUUGGGUACAUAUGUAGUUGGGGUUAUAUAUGUAGUUGUUAGAAUUAUAAUAGUUUGAAAAGCAACAUUUCUCUUCCUAGCUAGCUGCUCAACUCAAUUUUUAUAGAGGAUUUAUAAUUAGAGGUAUUUAUUAUACAGACUCUUUACUGUCUUAUACUUAUUUUCUUCACAAUAUUCCUUACAAUUUGACUUAAGCUCAAAAAACAAAUGCAUUAGAAGUAGGACCAUUUUGAUAUAAAUGCCACUAAAAAUAUUUCAAGUUGCUUUUUAGAUUAAAAUUAAUUUUGUAAACUCUGUGAUAUAUUACUGUGUACCAGUAAUAAUUAUGCCUCUGUACACGUCGCAACCAAUGUAUGUAUGCGCGGGCUACUGGCGCAGCGCAGGAAUCAAAUCCGGCCACGCGCUGCACCCCGCCACAGGGAUGGACUUCACUUACCCCACGGGCGUGGGUUGGUAGCUCCACCUGUCCCCACCCAGCCACGGGGUAAGUCAGACAAGCUACGGUUAUAACUUACCCGACACCGCAAGUCCCAUCUAGUCCGCGUGCCCUCCGAGCGAGCACAGGGGCAAAACAGCAAGGAGGCUGUGGAUGGGAUGUCUAACGUGUUUUAUACGUCGAUUGUUUGCAAUAUUGAUUGUAAUGUAAUAAAGUAAUUGAAAUGCA
Molecule: long non-coding RNA, 839 nt
Organism: Cydia pomonella (codling moth)
Lineage: Eukaryota; Metazoa; Arthropoda; Insecta; Lepidoptera; Tortricidae
Exons: 2
Source: RefSeq, a predicted model, not a curated record